CGCUAGCGGCGUGGAUUAGGUAUGCAAGUCGAACGGGAAGCUUGCGGUCGAUCCUUCGGGUGAAACUGCUUGUGGAACGUGGCGAAAGGGUGAGUAAUGAAUAGAUAACCUGCCCUCGAGACCGGGGUAAUCCACCGAAAGGUGGGGUAAUACCGGAUAGAAUAAAAACUCUUCGGGGAUUUUAUUAAAGGGUGGCUUCGGCUUCUGCUCGAGGAGGGGUCUAUUUCCUAUUAGCUUGUUGGUGAGGUAACGGCUCACCAAGGCAAAGAUGGGUAGGGGACCUUAGCGGGUGACCCUCCACACUGGGACUGAGACACUGCCCAGGUUCCUACGGGAAGCUGCAAUCGAGAAUCCUCCGCAAUGGGCGAAAGCCUGACGGGGUGACGCCGCGUGUACGAUGAAGGCCUUUCAGGUUGUAAAGUACUGUCAGGGAGUAUGAAAGAUAGUGGGUAUAAUAUGCCUGCUAUUUGACGUCAAUCCCAAAGGAAGUCACGGCUAAAUUUGUGCCAGCAGCCGCGGUAAUACAAAUGUGGCUAGCGUUGUUCGGAAUCACUGGGCAUAAAGCGCACGUAGGCGGUGCAGUAAGUUAAUUCGUGAAAUCCCCCGGCUUAACCGGGGAACUGCGGUUAAUACUGCUGUACUUGAGUACAAGAGGGGAGAGUGGAAUUCUGGGUGUAGCGGUGAAAUGCGAAGAUAUCCAGGAGAAGGCCGGUGGCGAAAGCGACUCUCUGGCUUGAUACUGACGCUGAGGUGCGAAAGCGUAGGUAGCGAACGGGAUUAGAUACCCCGGUAGUCUACGCCGUAAACGAUGGGCACUAGGCGGUGGAGGCGGUUAUAGCUUUCUCCGUCGUAGCAAAUGCGAUAAGUGCCCCGCCUGGGGAGUACGGUCACAAGAUUAAAACUCAAAGGAAUUGACGGGGGCCCACACAAGCGGUGGAGGAUGCUGCUUAAUUCGAUAUACGCGUAGAACCUUACCGAGAUUUGACAUGCUGGGAUUAACCCGUCGAAAGGCGGGGGAUUGCCUUACGUGUAACCAGCACAGGUGCUGCAUGGCUGUCGACAGUUCGUGUCGUGAGAUGUUAGGUUAAGUCCUGUAACGAGCGAAACCCCUAUGCUUAGUUGCCAGCGCGUCAUGGCGGGAACUCUAAGCAGACUGCCCCGGCCAACGGGGAGGAAGGUGGGGAUGACGUCAAGUCAGCAUGGCCCUUAUGUCUCGGGCUGCACGCGUCCUACAAUGGGCAGUACAAAGAGUACCGAAUCCGCGAGGUAGAGGUAAUCUCCAAAGCUGUCCUCAGUUCGGAUUGCAGGCUGAAACUCGCCUGCAUGAAGGUGGAAUCGCUAGUAAUCGCGGGUCAGCUAUACCGCGGUGAAUACGUCCCUGGGCCUUGUACACACCGCCCGUCAAGCCACCCGAGUCGGGUACACCCGAAAUCCGAGGCCUAACCAUUUAUUUGGAGGGAUCGGCUGAAGGUGGAUCUGGUAAGGUGGACUAAGUCGUAACAAGGUA
Molecule: ribosomal RNA, 1507 nt
Filed under: metagenome
Description: bacterial SSU rRNA
Rfam family: Bacterial small subunit ribosomal RNA
Source: RNAcentral